RNAcentral lists this transfer RNA (84 nucleotides) under Opitutaceae bacterium TAV5. It matches the Rfam family "tRNA". From Rfam's summary of the family: Transfer RNA (tRNA) molecules are approximately 80 nucleotides in length. Their secondary structure includes four short double-helical elements and three loops (D, anti-codon, and T loops). Further hydrogen bonds mediate the characteristic L-shaped molecular structure. tRNAs have two regions of fundamental functional importance: the anti-codon, which is responsible for specific mRNA codon recognition, and the 3' end, to which the tRNAs corresponding amino acid is attached (by aminoacyl-tRNA synthetases). tRNAs cope with the degeneracy of the genetic code in two manners: having more than one tRNA (with a specific anti-codon) for a particular amino acid; and 'wobble' base-pairing, i.e. permitting non-standard base-pairing at the 3rd anti-codon position. Lineage: Bacteria; Pseudomonadati; Verrucomicrobiota; Opitutia; Opitutales; Opitutaceae. The record is from Rfam by way of RNAcentral.
GCCCGGAUGGCGGAAUCGGUAGACGCCUUCGACUUAAAAUUGAAUUCCCGUAAGGGAGUGCGGGUUCGAGUCCCGCUCCGGGCA